Molecule: unclassified non-coding RNA, 600 nt
Filed under: Hevea brasiliensis (rubber tree)
Lineage: Eukaryota; Viridiplantae; Streptophyta; Magnoliopsida; Malpighiales; Euphorbiaceae
Source: RNAcentral
AAAAAAAAUGCUUGCCCAAACUUAGGCAUCAAAUUAUAAAGACCGACUUUUGCAAAACAACAUUCAUGAUGCUCUCAUCCCAGUCUAUAUGAAGUUGGUGUAUCAUUUGGUAGAUAAAUUGUGAAUUUAAUUCUUCAUUGACACUAGGGUUCGUAUAAGUUGUUAAACAAUCAGGUUGAAAUGAUAAACUUUUAUCAAUCUACUUCGUCACUCAAGCCAUAGAUGCAUCUAGUUCUCAAAUUAGGAUAGGUUAAGAAUUGGUAAAUUAUGGCCAACCUCAUAUAUUUGAGACUUUUCUCAUAUCAGACAUCUCUUCUAUUUGUUCAAACAAGUCCUUGGUUAUGUGCACUGUUUUCUAAAGAAUAUUGCCACAUUACUUUCCUAAAUGGAAGUUCAUCGGUCCACAUAAAAACUUGCUGUAAUGGUUUCCUUAAGAGGAAGCAAUUCCAUUUUAUGCAGAAUAGUGAAGGAUCAAGUUACGGCCUUCUGAGUAUUACUCAGAAAAACACGUUGAUUGCAGGUACCUCUUCAAGUGGCACAACCAUUAGAUUCCAACUUGCUGAAUGGCCUAAAACUUGGUCUUGAAGGUGAGCACCAGUA